This is a long non-coding RNA of Carya illinoinensis, 1520 nucleotides long. RefSeq lists it as uncharacterized. The transcript has 4 exons. The record is from RefSeq and is a predicted model, not a curated record. Lineage: Eukaryota; Viridiplantae; Streptophyta; Magnoliopsida; Fagales; Juglandaceae.
UCCUUUUAUGGUCAAGUAGGUUCUGCUGCGGAAGGGAUUAUGCAGUUGGCGAUGGCGACUUUGGUGCCGUUAAGCUGGAAAUCUUAUGGUUAGAAGGAAAACACAUUGCUGGUCUCUUCUCCCAGCGUUAGUUCUUCUCCUUUCUUAUCGAAGUCUCUCCCUUUCCCUCAGUUUUCUGAUAAACAAAUCGGGAACAACCGUUGGGAAGGUGGAAAUAGUGAGUGCAGUAACGGACUCGACUCCUUGGCCUUAAUCGAAGACCUGCAUUAGUUUUAAGGCGUCCAUUGUUCGAGAAGAUGUUUCUGGAAGUCGAGUGUGCGUCGCGGCUGUUCUCCACUACCUCCUUGACGGCAGAUAUUGGUCGUCGGAUCAUUUCUCCGGUCUCAGAUCGGUGACCAUGGACUGGUAACUGGGUGGAUUUUGGAAUUUUUUUUCUUCGAAGAGCUCCAUGGGGGAAGAGGCUCAGCGUCACCAUCCACGUAGGGGAGGCUGUUUUUGCUUGUCGUCCGAGUGUUCGCAUUGGGGAUAUCCUUUGCUUUCAUUCUUGCUUCUGUUCUCUUCUGUUUGCCUGCCUAACGUUCUGAUACUCUCGCCGGAGCUUUGGUAAUUGGUGGAAUUCGUAUGAAGCCAUAGACGAUGUUUGUUAAAAUGCCCAGAUGACCUCAAAUUUAUGGAGAUUUCCAUUAACAAGCUUACAUUUGGAGCAGAACAUUUAGGGAGAACACUCAGAAGUUUUAUUCCGAAUAGCCAAAGGAGAGAAUUCUCUUUGAAAGUUGAAGGAAGGGCAAUCACGAAAGACAUGGGAAGCAAGAUUACAGGGUGUGCAGGACGAGGAAGCAAUUGAGCAGAAGCUAUGUGAAGAUCGCUUGAUCCAAUCGAUGUAUAUCUCUGCUUCAUGGGUGGUAGCUAGGUAGUCACAUACUGCUUCAAUCAAACCGGCAACGCUGCCGAGCUCAUCAAAUCAAAGCUGAACGCUUAGAUGCCGCUUCAACCAAAAAGCUACUGCUAGUUGGCUUGAAGACUUCGACAAUGAGUUAAUUAGAAAGCUUUGAUUCUGGCCGCAAUUUCUCCUUCAUGGAAGUGUAAGGACAAGAAGAAAGCCAUGUUCAGUUCAGGUUGUAAUCCACGUACCUUUUUUCCCCUGAUAAGGGAUAAGCUUCGCACCAGCAGGCUCUCGGUCUCUUGAAGUUCCUCAGAAGUACACGAACUUAAACCAUGUCCCAAAAGCUUCCUAUGACAAGCAAUUUUGAAAGUGUUGAAAUUCCAGAUCAGACUGAGACUAACAUUCCAAGUAACAAAUGCAGCAGGGAGCAGCUUCAAAGCAGGAGAAUAACCUUUGAGAAGCAUCAAGAAGCUCAAUCUGCUUUGCCAUGCUUGCACUGCCACGCUCCAAUUGCUGCAUAUGGGAACUUUUUGUCACAAUAGGACAAAGCAAGUAACUGAUUUGUGUUGUUCAUGGGAUUGAGUAGUCAUAAGCUGUGAGUUAAACUUGACAUCAAGCUCAAGCAUCCAAAUUGCAA